UGAGCAACGACCCUAGCCAAUGAUUAGUCCAUUAUUCAUAUAGAAUUAACAUUGUCGAAAAAAGAAACAAGCGUAGAACGUGUAAGAGCAUUCCGUGAAAGACAGCCUGCCCAAAAACAUCCCAAAAAAACCCAAGAAAGUACCCUACAGCGUUUAAAGGGAUUUCAAGAGCGCCAAAAGACGUUGAAAAA
Molecule: long non-coding RNA, 191 nt
Organism: Vespa crabro (European hornet)
Lineage: Eukaryota; Metazoa; Arthropoda; Insecta; Hymenoptera; Vespidae
Exons: 2
Source: RefSeq, a predicted model, not a curated record